AUUGAACGCUGGCGGCAGGCCUAACACAUGCAAGUCGAACGGUAACAGGAAGCAGCUUGCUGCUUUGCUGACGAGUGGCGGACGGGUGAGUAAUGUCUGGGAAACUGCCCGAUGGAGGGGGAUAACUACUGGAAACGGUAGCUAAUACCGCAUAACGUCGCAAGACCAAGGAGGGGGACCUUAGGGCCUCUUGCCAUCGGAUGUGCCCAGAUGGGAUUAGCUUGUAGGUGGGGUAACGGCUCACCUAGGGGACGAUCCCUAGCUGGUCUGAGAGGAUGACCAGCCCCACUGGAACUGAGACACGGUCCAGACUCCUACGGGAGGCAGCAGUGGGGAAUAUUGCACAAUGGGCGCAAGCCUGAUGCAGCCAUGCCGCGUGUAUGAAGAAGGCCUUCGGGUUGUAAAGUACUUUCAGCGGGGAGGAAGGGAGUAAAGUUAAUACCUUUGCUCAUUGACGUUACCCGCAGAAGAAGCACCGGCUAACUCCGUG
Molecule: ribosomal RNA, 490 nt
Filed under: uncultured bacterium
Lineage: Bacteria
Description: partial 16S ribosomal RNA
Rfam family: Bacterial small subunit ribosomal RNA
Source: RNAcentral